This 329-nucleotide ribosomal RNA is filed under the name Aidemona azteca. RNAcentral describes it as "partial 12S ribosomal RNA". Lineage: Eukaryota; Metazoa; Arthropoda; Insecta; Orthoptera; Acrididae. The record is from RNAcentral.
ACUAUUAGUUAAGGUCUUUAAACCCAAAGAAUUUGGCGGUAUCUUAUUCCAUUCAGAGGAACCUACCCCGUAAUUGAUAGUACACGAUUAACUCUACUUAAUUUAUUUGUUUGUAUAUCUCCGUUAUCAGAAAAUCUUUUUAGAGUUAUAAUUUUCUUAAUUUAUAAUUGUAAAGUAUUUCAGGUCAAGGUGCGGCUUAUAAUUAAGAGGAGGUGGGUUACAAUAGAUUUUUGUCUAUAACGGAUUUGAUGGUGAAAUACUGUUAAUGAAGGUGGAUUUGAUAGUAAUUUGACAUAUUUAGUUUAUUUGAUAUUGGCUCUGAGGUGUGU